ACUCCUACGGGAGGCAGCAGUAGGGAAUCUUCCGCAAUGGACGAAAGUCUGACGGAGCAACGCCGCGUGAGUGAUGAAGGUUUUCGGAUCGUAAAGCUCUGUUGUUAGGGAAGAACAAGUACGAGAGUAACUGCCGGUACCUUGACGGUACCUAACGAGAAAGCCACGGCUAACUACGUGCCAGCAGCCGCGGUAAUACGUAGGUGGCAAGCGUUGUCCGGAAUUAUUGGGCGUAAAGAGCGUGUAGGCGGCUUGGUAAGUCCGCUGUGAAAGUCCAGGGCUCAACCCUGGAAUGCCAGUGGAAACUGUCAAGCUAGAGUCCGGAAGAGGCGAGUGGAAUUCCUGGUGUAGCGGUGAAAUGCGCAGAUAUCUGGAGGAACACCAGUGGCGAAGGCGGCUCGCUGGGACGGUACUGACGCUGAGGCGCGAAAGCGUGGGGAGCAAACAGGAUUAGAAACCCUGGUAGUCCACGCCGUAAACGAUGGGCACUAGGUGUGGGGGGUGUCGACUCCCUCUGUGCCGACGCUAACGCAUUAAGUGCCCCGCCUGGGGAGUACGGCCGCAAGGCUAAAACUUAAAUGAAUUGACGG
This 590-nucleotide ribosomal RNA is filed under the name Kocuria sp. WN036. RNAcentral describes it as "bacterial SSU rRNA". It matches the Rfam family "Bacterial small subunit ribosomal RNA", at positions 335 to 916 of the family's 1533-position model. The record is from RNAcentral. Lineage: Bacteria; Bacillati; Actinomycetota; Actinomycetes; Micrococcales; Micrococcaceae.